GACGAACGCUGGCGGCGUGCCUAAUACAUGCAAGUCGAACGCUUUACUUUUCACCGGAGCUUGCUCCGCCGAAAAGUAAAGAGUGGCGGACGGGUGAGUAACACGUGGGCAACCUGCCCAACAGAGGGGGAUAACACUUGGAAACAGUUGCUAAUACCGCAUAAUUUGUUUUCCCGCAUGGGAGAAUAAUAAAAGACGCCUUACGGUGUCACUGUUGGAUGGGCCCGCGCUGCAUUAGUUAGUUGGG
RNAcentral lists this ribosomal RNA (247 nucleotides) under uncultured bacterium. RNAcentral's name for it is "partial 16S ribosomal RNA". It matches the Rfam family "Bacterial small subunit ribosomal RNA", at positions 28 to 253 of the family's 1533-position model. The record is from RNAcentral.